CUGGCUCAGAUUGAACGCUGGCGGCAUGCCUUACACAUGCAAGUCGAACGGCAGCACGGGAGCAAUCCUGGUGGCGAGUGGCGAACGGGUGAGUAAUAUAUCGGAACGUACCUUGGAGUGGGGGAUAACGUAGCGAAAGUUACGCUAAUACCGCAUAUUCUGUGCGCAGGAAAGCAGGGGAUCUUAGGACCUUGUGCUCUUUGAGCGGCCGAUAUCAGAUUAGCUAGUUGGUGAGGUAAAGGCUCACCAAGGCGACGAUCUGUAGCGGGUCUGAGAGGAUGAUCCGCCACACUGGAACUGAGACACGGUCCAGACUCCUACGGGAGGCAGCAGUGGGGAAUUUUGGACAAUGGGGGCAACCCUGAUCCAGCCAUGCCGCGUGAGUGAAGAAGGCCUUCGGGUUGUAAAGCUCUUUCGGCCGGGAAGAAAUCGCAUCGGUUAAUACCCGGUGUGGAUGACGGUACCGGAAUAAGAAGCACCGGCUAACUACGUGCCAGCAGCCGCGGUAAUACGUAGGGUGCGAGCGUUAAUCGGAAUUACUGGGCGUAAAGCGUGCGCAGGCGGUUUGUUAAGAUAGGCGUGAAAUCCCCGGGCUCAACCUGGGAACUGCGCUUAUGACUGGCAGGCUAGAGUACGGCAGAGGGGGGUGGAAUUCCACGUGUAACAGUGAAAUGCGUAGAGAUGUGGAGGAACACCAAUGGCGAAGGCAGCCCCCUGGGUCGAUACUGACGCUCAUGCACGAAAGCGUGGGUAGCAAACAGGAUUAGAUACCCUGGUAGUC
Molecule: ribosomal RNA, 781 nt
Filed under: uncultured bacterium
Lineage: Bacteria
Description: bacterial SSU rRNA
Rfam family: Bacterial small subunit ribosomal RNA
Source: RNAcentral